UGGGGAAUAUUGCACAAUGGGGGAAACCCUGAUGCAGCGACGCCGCGUGAAGGAAGAAGUAUCUCGGUAUGUAAACUUCUAUCAGCAGGGAAGAAAAUGACGGUACCUGACUAAGAAGCCCCGGCUAACUACGUGCCAGCAGCCGCGGUAAUACGUAGGUGGCAAGCGUUAUCCGGAUUUAUUGGGCGUAAAGGGAACGCAGGCGGUCUUUUAAGUCUGAUGUGAAAGGCGGGGGCUCAACCCCCGGACUGCAUUGGAAACUGUUGAUCUUGAGUACCGGAGAGGUAAGCGGAAUUCCUAGUGUAGCGGUGAAAUGCGUAGAUAUUAGGAGGAACACCAGUGGCGAAGGCGGCUUACUGGACGGUAACUGACGUUGAGGCUCGAAAGCGUGGGGAGCAAACAGGAUUAGAUACC
Molecule: ribosomal RNA, 414 nt
Filed under: uncultured bacterium
Lineage: Bacteria
Description: bacterial SSU rRNA
Rfam family: Bacterial small subunit ribosomal RNA
Source: RNAcentral